UCCAGCAGCCAUAUCACUCUGCAACUCACAACUGGCAGCCCACUGAAGCAAAGCAGGUGUGAGCCUGGUCAGUACCUGGAUGGGAGACCUCCUGGGAAAAACUAAGGUUGCUGCUGGAA
RNAcentral lists this ribosomal RNA (119 nucleotides) under Lepisosteus oculatus (spotted gar). Lineage: Eukaryota; Metazoa; Chordata; Actinopteri; Semionotiformes; Lepisosteidae. The record is from RNAcentral.